GGCCUAACACAUGCAAGUCGAGCGGUAGAGAGAAGCUUGCUUCUCUUGAGAGCGGCGGACGGGUGAGUAAUGUCUGGGAAACUGCCUGAUGGAGGGGGAUAACUACUGGAAACGGUAGCUAAUACCGCAUAACGUCUUCGGACCAAAGAGGGGGACCUUCGGGCCUCUUGCCAUCAGAUGUGCCCAGAUGGGAUUAGCUAGUAGGUGAGGUAAUGGCUCACCUAGGCGACGAUCCCUAGCUGGUCUGAGAGGAUGACCAGCCACACUGGAACUGAGACGCGGUCCAGACUCCUACGGGAGGCAGCAGUGGGGAAUAUUGCACAAUGGGCGCAAGCCUGAUGCAGCCAUGCCGCGUGUAUGAAGAAGGCCUUCGGGUUGUAAAGUACUUUCAGCGAGGAGGAAGGCAUUGUGGUUAAUAACCGCAGUGAUUGACGUUACUCGCAGAAGAAG
Molecule: ribosomal RNA, 450 nt
Filed under: uncultured Gammaproteobacteria bacterium
Lineage: Bacteria; Pseudomonadati; Pseudomonadota; Gammaproteobacteria
Description: bacterial SSU rRNA
Rfam family: Bacterial small subunit ribosomal RNA
Source: RNAcentral